This 73-nucleotide transfer RNA is filed under the name Ailuropoda melanoleuca (giant panda). It matches the Rfam family "tRNA". From Rfam's summary of the family: Transfer RNA (tRNA) molecules are approximately 80 nucleotides in length. Their secondary structure includes four short double-helical elements and three loops (D, anti-codon, and T loops). Lineage: Eukaryota; Metazoa; Chordata; Mammalia; Carnivora; Ursidae. The record is from Rfam by way of RNAcentral.
GCCUGGCUGGCUCAGUUGGUGGAGUGUGUGAUUCUUAAUCUUGGAGUUGUGAGUUUGAGCCCCACGUUGGGUG